This 497-nucleotide ribosomal RNA is filed under the name uncultured bacterium. RNAcentral describes it as "partial 16S ribosomal RNA". It matches the Rfam family "Bacterial small subunit ribosomal RNA", at positions 28 to 507 of the family's 1533-position model. The record is from RNAcentral.
GAUGAACGCUGGCGGCGUGCCUAAUACAUGCAAGUCGAGCGAACAGAUCAGGAGCUUGCUCCUUUGACGUUAGCGGCGGACGGGUGAGUAACACGUGGGUAACCUACCUAUAUGACUGGAAUAAUUCGGGGAAACGGGCGCAAAUGCCGGAUAACCUUUAGAACCGCAUGGUUGUAAAGAGAGAGAUGGUUUUGCUAUCUCUAAUAGAUGGACACGCGCCGUAUUAGGUAGUUGGUAGGGUAACGGCUUACCGCGGCAACGAUACGUAGCCGACCUGCGAGGGUGAUCGGCCACACUGGAACUGGGACACGGUCCAGACUCCUACGGGAGGCAGCAGUAGGGAAUCUUCGGCAAUGGGCGAAAGCCUGACGGAGCAACGCGGCGUGAGUGAUGAAGGUCUUCGGAUCGUAAUGCUCUGUUAUUAGGGAAGAACAAAUGUGUAAGUAACUGAGCACGUCUUGACGGUACCUAAUCAGAAAGCCACGGCUAACUACGUG